This 440-nucleotide ribosomal RNA is filed under the name uncultured bacterium. RNAcentral describes it as "partial 16S ribosomal RNA". It matches the Rfam family "Bacterial small subunit ribosomal RNA", at positions 338 to 795 of the family's 1533-position model. The record is from RNAcentral.
CCUACGGGAGGCAGCAGUGGGGAAUAUUGCACAAUGGGGGAAACCCUGAUGCAGCGACGCAGCGUUAGUGAAGAAGUCUUUCGGUAUGUUAAGCUCUAUCAGCAGGGAAGAAAAUGACGGUACCUGUUUAAUAAGCACCGGCUAACUACGUGCCAGCAGCCGCGGUAAUACGUAGGGGGCAAGCGUAAUACGGAUUUACUGGGUGUAAAGGGAGCGUAGACGGCAGCACAAGUCUGGAGUGAAAUGCCGGGGCUUAACCCCGGAACUGCUUUGGAAACUGUGCAUCUAGAGUGCAGGAGAGGUAGGUGGAAUUCGUGGUGUAGCGGUGAAAUGCUUAGAUAUUAGGAGGAACACCAGUGGCGAAGGCAGCUUACUGGACUGUAACUGACGUUGAUGCUCGAAAGCGUGGGUAGCAAACAGGAUUAGAUACCCCUGUAGUC